CCUGGUGGCUCAGUGGUAAAGAAUCUGCCUGCAAUGCAGGAGACUUGGGUUCAAUCCCCGGGUCAGGA
RNAcentral lists this transfer RNA (68 nucleotides) under Bos taurus (domestic cattle). It matches the Rfam family "tRNA". From Rfam's summary of the family: Transfer RNA (tRNA) molecules are approximately 80 nucleotides in length. Their secondary structure includes four short double-helical elements and three loops (D, anti-codon, and T loops). RNAcentral also lists the same sequence under 5 other names. Lineage: Eukaryota; Metazoa; Chordata; Mammalia; Artiodactyla; Bovidae. The record is from Rfam by way of RNAcentral.